CUUUUGAAGAAAUUGUCUUUUUGGUUUUUCUCUCUCUAGCUCUCUCUCCCCUGUGCUUCUUCUUUUCUUUUUAGAUCUGAAGAACUUUGGUGAUCUUUGUAGUCAUCUGAUGAUGGUAGAAUGUUGGUACAGUGUUUUAGGCCUUGUUUGUGACUAGUAAACCUCUAUUUUGUUCUUGAUAAGGUUUUGUCUAAUCUUGUGGGCUAGGGUUCGAGUUAUUGAGAGAUCCUUGUGGAUUGAUGACCAUAUAGUGGGUCUGAUUUAGUUUUCUCAAAUGGUUGUACACUCUCUUAAAGGUUUCUUGCUAGUGACGGGCUUACUUCUGAGCUCCCCAGAUUAGACCGUGUUUGGCUGAACUUAGUGAACAAUUCUUGUGUUUGAUUUCUGUUCUUGGUUUAUUUUUACGAUUGCUUGUGGAUUUUGGGUUGAUAAUCCUAACAAAUAUGGUAUCAGAGCUCAAUUUUCGAGGCAUCUGCGUGAUAUACCUUGCCCUGAGGAUAUUCUGUGAGUUGGGAAAAGUAAAUCGUUGUGCAUAUUCUAGUUUUUCUGGAUCUGCAGUAUUCGGCUUUUUCAUUUCUUGAGAUUUUUUUACUUUCUAUCCAGAUUUUAAAGAUCUGCACAGACUGAUAUAUUCCAGUCGUAUUUUUGCCGUAUUACAGCUGCAAUUUUGGAGUUUCUUCCAGCUGAAGAAAUUGAAAAAUCAACCAUGCAAAAGGAAGACAAUUUCAAUAAAAAUUCUCCAGCCACCUUACCUCCCACAUGCUAGAAGCUCCCAAACACCUCAGAUGUUGCAGCCACCAUUUUCUGAUUCAUGCAUUAAAUUACAGCUGGAAAUUUGCAUGAAAACAGCCUGGUUUCAUGCAUUUUCAUGGCAGCUCUUUGGCAGAAUUUUUAGGCAGUUGGUUGGCAAUUUUUGGACCAGAAAAUUGAGGCGGUUUGACAAGCAAAUUUCGGCCAAUAUGAGGCGGUUUGUUUGGCAGAUUUUGGGCCAUAAUUUAUGGCGGUUCUUGCAACAUUUUUCUCUAUAAAUAGGGGUGUUUACCAAGAGAAUCAAAAAAAGCCACAAUAGAGAGAGGGUAAGGCCACAAUAAAAGAGAGAUUCCUUCCCUUGAGAGGAAGAAAAAUAGGAUAGAGAAAAGAGAAAUAAAAAAAGAGAGAUUAGAGAGACUCUUUUGAGAGGUUUUUUGUUGAGUUUGUAAACUCCGUUGUAAAUUCUAUUCAAGUAGAAAUAGAAUUGUUUUUCCUCUUUUAUUUUCUCUUCACGUGAUCGGAGAAUCACAACAAGUGGUAUCAGAGCAAGGUUUAUCAAUUGGCCCUCGUAGUUUUGAUAUAGCUCCGAUUUUGAUCAAGCCUAAGCCAUGGAGCAAUCUUUAUCGGGAGCUAUGAUCAAGCUUACUGCCACCAAUUACACACUGUGGAGGCCUCGGAUGGAAGACCUCCUCAGUUGUAAGGAUUUGUAUGACCCCCUGGAAGCCGAAGGCGUAAACCCCGAUCCUACCAAGGAGACGGAGUGGAAGAAGUUAAACAGAAAAACUAUCGAUCAAAUUCGACAAUGGAUUGACCAUAGUGUCUUUCACCAUGUGGCACAAGAGACAGAUGCAUAUGCUCUCUGGAAGAUUCUGGAGGACAUGUACCAAGCCAAGACCGCUCGAAACAAAGCCCUGUUGAUGAGGCGUUUGGUGAAUCUGAAGUUAAAGAGUGGAACUUCAGUUGCUGAGCACACCAGUGAAUUUCAGAGCUUGGUAAACCAAUUGUCAUCUGUGGAGAUGCCGCUUGGGGAUGAAAUACAAGCUUUACUACUUUUAAGUUCUCUUCCUGAUAGUUGGGAGACAUUAGUAGUAUCUCUUAGCAACUCAGCCCCUGAUGGAAAACUUACCAUGUCAAUGGUUAAGGAUGCCCUAUUUAAUGAAGAGGCCAGAAGAAAAGAUGUAGACACGGACCAAUCACAUGUCCUUGUCACAGUGAACCGGGGAAGAUAACAAGGAGACCUUCGAGGCAGGGGGAGAGGUAGAAGCAAAAGUAGGGGUAGAUCUAUAGAUGGAAGGAAGCCUACUUAUAAGUGCUACUAUUGUGGUAUGGAGGGCCACUUGAAGAAGAACUGCAGAAAAUUGCUAUGAGAGCAAGGCCACAACAGUUCGCAGCCGAAAAAUAAGGGAGAAGUUUAAGCAAAAAUCCUGUCUAUCAUGAAAGGUCAAAACAUAUUGAGGUGAAGUAUCAUUUCAUAAGAGAAAAACUCUCAUCUAGUGAAAUGGUUCUUGAGAAAAUUCAUAAUGAUUUUAAUCCUGCUAAUAUGGGGACUAAAAUACUGCCAGUUAAUAAAUUCAGAUCUUGUUUAUCAUUGCUUAAUAUUGAUACAGGUUGAUUUUUUGUGCAAGUAACUGGGCGAUGAUGUAGGGUAUGGUUUUGUCACUAGCAUUAUAGCAACAAGAGAGGAAGUGGGCGGUUUGAGAACCAAGGUGAAGAUUUUCUCAAACCAUACUUUCAUAAGUGAAAAUGCGUUUUCUCCCACUUGUAUCCCUAUGGACAGUUGGCAGUUUGGCAUUGGCUUACAAAUGGUCACAUGAGUUGUGCUUUCUCUUGGCUAUUGUGGACCGUUGAUUUAAUCCUAUGACUGAGAUUUAGUCUUCAAUAAGUAAUGCCUUUUGAGGGUUGGGAAAAGGAGCAGUCAGUCACUUUCUCUUUUAAAGAAAUUGUCUUUUUGGUUUUUUCUCUCUCUAGCUCUCUCUCUCAUCUGCUUCUUCUUUUCUUUUUAGAUCUGAAGAACUUUGGUGAUCUUUGUAAUAAUCUUGUAGUUAUCUAAUGAUGGUAGAAGGUUGGUACAGUGUUUUAGGCCUUGUUUGUGGCUGGUAAACCUGUAUUUUGUUCUUGACAAGGUUCUGUCUAGUCUUGUGGGCUAGGGUUCAAGUUAUUGAGAGAUCCUUGUGGAUUGAUGACCAUAUAGUGGGUUUGCUUUGGUUUUCUCAAAUGAUUGUACACUCUCUUGAAGGUUUUUUGUUAGUGACGGGCUUACUUCUGAGCCCCCCAGAUUAGGCCGUGUUUGGUUGAACUGGGUGAACAAUUCUUGUGUUCGAAUUCUCUUGUUGAUUUAUUUUUACUAUUUUUACGAUUACUUGUGAGUUUUGGGUCGAUGAUCCUAACAGUCAGAAACAUGAUAUGUUAUUAUCUCGUAUUGCAAUGUCAGUACCAUGCUUUUGAGGCAUUUCCUUGUUAACAUGCCAUGGCACGUCUGAUAUUUUAAAUUGCUAUUAUGUAUCUUUUAGGUAUGAGUAAAGCACAUGUGUUUUCCUUUUUAUAUCCCAUAUGUACAUAUAUUUUUCUUAUACGUUUUGUGAUCAGCACUGAUUUCCACAAAAAAUUAACAAGCGUAGGAAAUCAGUUCUCAUCAUUUGGUAAUUUCUUGUUUAGCUAGAUUAUUCAUGAUUGAGGCUAACGAUUUCUGUGCGUUUUUCUUCUUUUCUAGUUUUGGUUUUUAACAUUUCAACUAUCCAAUGUUUCCAUGUUCAUAUGUGCUCUGUCGCGAUACCGUUCCGCUAUCGCUAUCGGUGACUUGUUCAUUUCUAGUUUACUAGAUGCCUUGGUAAGACAAGGGCAUUGGAGGUAUCAGAAUGUGUUAAGUCUGCAAGUAAAAUGCUUGGAACAUGGGAUGGCAAUUGAUUGUCACUACAUCUAAAGUUCUGCACUAAAUUAUUUAAACGAAACACAAAGUUGUUGUUAUGGUAUUGGAAGAAUCCAAUACUUAUUCCAGGGAUCAUCCAAGCAUUACAUGUCUUGAUAUUCUUUUGUUACGUGCAUGUAAUUGAAAUUAUUACAUAUUCAUCGAAAUGUAUAUACC
RNAcentral lists this long non-coding RNA (3832 nucleotides) under Olea europaea subsp. europaea. Lineage: Eukaryota; Viridiplantae; Streptophyta; Magnoliopsida; Lamiales; Oleaceae. The record is from RNAcentral.